Tupaia belangeri chinensis (Chinese tree shrew) is the source of this 279-nucleotide long non-coding RNA. RefSeq lists it as uncharacterized. NCBI's taxonomy places the organism in Eukaryota, Metazoa, Chordata, Mammalia, Scandentia, Tupaiidae. The transcript has 3 exons. The record is from RefSeq and is a predicted model, not a curated record.
GCCUGAAUGUUUGUAUUCCUCUCAAAAUUCAUAGCCUGAAAUCAAUCCCCGGUGUGAUGGUAUUUGAAGGCGGGCCUUUGGGAAAUCAGGCAGCUGGAAGGAUGAUUUAUCAGUUGAUACAUCUUACCACCAAGACAGGGUCUUGCUGUGUCUGGACUCUCCUGCCUCAGCCUCCAAGUGGCUGGAUCCCCUGUGUGCAUCACCCCAUUUGGCUUCUUCUCUUCCUUGAGGGGGAAGGUGGCCCAGAUAUUGAGCCCCAGCCUUCCAUGUGGCCGCAGC